GGGUUGUGAGGUUAAGCGACUAAGCGUACACGGUGGAUGCCCUGGCAGUCAGAGGCGAUGAAGGACGUGCUAAUCUGCGAUAAGCGUCGGUAAGGUGAUAUGAACCGUUAUAACCGGCGAUUUCCGAAUGGGGAAACCCAGUGUGUUUCGACACACUAUCAUUAACUGAAUCCAUAGGUUAAUGAGGCGAACCGGGGGAACUGAAACAUCUAAGUACCCCGAGGAAAAGAAAUCAACCGAGAUUCCCCCAGUAGCGGCGAGCGAACGGGGAGCAGCCCAGAGCCUGAAUCAGUGUGUGUGUUAGUGGAAGCGUCUGGAAAGGCGCGCGAUACAGGGUGACAGCCCCGUACACAAAAAUGCACAUGCUGUGAGCUCGAUGAGUAGGGCGGGACACGUGGUAUCCUGUCUGAAUAUGGGGGGACCAUCCUCCAAGGCUAAAUACUCCUGACUGACCGAUAGUGAACCAGUACCGUGAGGGAAAGGCGAAAAGAACCCCGGCGAGGGGAGUGAAAAAGAACCUGAAACCGUGUACGUA
Molecule: ribosomal RNA, 535 nt
Filed under: Escherichia coli
Lineage: Bacteria; Pseudomonadati; Pseudomonadota; Gammaproteobacteria; Enterobacterales; Enterobacteriaceae
Description: bacterial LSU rRNA
Rfam family: Bacterial large subunit ribosomal RNA
Source: RNAcentral